GACGAACGCUGGCGGCGUGCUUAACACAUGCAAGUCGAACGCUGAAGCUUGGUGCUUGCACUGGGUGGAUGAGUGGCGAACGGGUGAGUAAUACGUGAGUAACCUGCCCUUGACUCUGGGAUAAGCCUGGGAAACUGGGUCUAAUACUGGAUAUGACAUGCCACUGCAUGGUGGUGUGUGGAAAGGGUUUUACUGGUUUUGGAUGGGCUCACGGCCUAUCAGCUUGUUGGUGGGGUAAUGGCCUACCAAGGCGACGACGGGUAGCCGGCCUGAGAGGGUGACCGGCCACACUGGGACUGAGACACGGCCCAGACUCCUACGUGAGGCAGCAGUGGGGAAUAUUGCACAAUGGGCGGAAGCCUGAUGCAGCGACGCCGCGUGAGGGAUGACGGCCUUCGGGUUGUAAACCUCUUUCAGCACGGAAGAAGCGAGAGUGACGGUACGUGCAGAAGAAGCGCCGGCUAACUACGUG
Molecule: ribosomal RNA, 472 nt
Filed under: uncultured bacterium
Lineage: Bacteria
Description: partial 16S ribosomal RNA
Rfam family: Bacterial small subunit ribosomal RNA
Source: RNAcentral